Molecule: non-coding RNA, 28 nt
Filed under: Homo sapiens (human)
Lineage: Eukaryota; Metazoa; Chordata; Mammalia; Primates; Hominidae
Source: RNAcentral
UCUUCCAAUAUGGAAAAAAAUGUGUGUC